This is a long non-coding RNA of Xiphophorus couchianus (Monterrey platyfish), 672 nucleotides long. RefSeq lists it as uncharacterized. Lineage: Eukaryota; Metazoa; Chordata; Actinopteri; Cyprinodontiformes; Poeciliidae. The transcript has 4 exons. The record is from RefSeq and is a predicted model, not a curated record.
CAUCUGAGGUGUUGCAAAGUGUCUCCAUCCCUUGAUUUUUCAUUAUUCUCCUUGUGACAAGGCUGAGAGUGUAGCAGAACUGCAGCACAGGGCCGUUGUGUUAGUGUCUGUCAUUAGCUGCUGAACUGAGUUCUCCUGUCCCGUCACGUUGGCAGUUUCUUUGAUUUGUUUCUGUCCUGAUUGCCGCCUCCUUGUGAAGAGUUUUUUUUUUCGAUGCGGCUUUUAAAGAAACUAUCAUCAAAGCAGCCAUGUCCAACUGUGAAGACAAACAGCUGGAUUGUUAUCCUGCCAGAGAUCCAGGAAGCCAGAGCCUAAAGUUUCAUGGAUAUCAGCUGAGGUCUGAGGUAGCUGUUGUUCAUGCUGACGGUGGACCGCGACAUUCUGACAGCGAGAAGAAGCUUAAAGCUCUCACUUAAUCCCGUGACGGCCAUUACAGCAGAAUGGCCAUGUUUCAGGCAGGGAGAAAAGAGAGUGGUGGCAUCUAAAGUGGUGGAUUAUGGGGGGAUUAGCGGCUCAUCUGCCUGCCGAGGGGCUGAUUAAUCCAGCUGCUUGGGUUGUUCAGGUUCAGGGGUUGGACGGUGUGAGGGGGGAUUCGAGGAUAACAAACAGGUUAGAAAAAUAUUGGUUAGAGAUUAGCAGGAUGGGAAAUAAAGCUAGUCAUUAUCAACAUCA